Molecule: transfer RNA, 72 nt
Filed under: Trapezodirus cerberus
Lineage: Eukaryota; Metazoa; Arthropoda; Insecta; Coleoptera; Leiodidae
Description: transfer RNA-Leu
Source: RNAcentral
UAUUAUUAUUAUUUUGGCAGAUUAGUGCUUUAAAUUUAGAAUUUAAUUAUGUGUAAUAUACACAAAUAAUAC